UACGUAGGAGGCGAGCGUUGUCCGGAAUCACUGGGCGUAAAGAGCGUGUAGGCGGCAAGGCAAGUCUGCUGUGAAAGCGCCCUGCUUAACGGGGCGAGGUCGGCGGAAACUGCCUAGCUAAGAGGACGGUAGAGGGGGGUGGAAUUCCCGGUGUAGUGGUGAAAUGCGUAGAGAUCGGGAGGAACACCAGUGGCGAAGGCGGCCCCCUGGGCCGGUCCUGACGCUGAGACGCGAAGGCGCGGGGAGCGAACGG
Molecule: ribosomal RNA, 253 nt
Filed under: uncultured bacterium
Lineage: Bacteria
Description: partial 16S ribosomal RNA
Rfam family: Bacterial small subunit ribosomal RNA
Source: RNAcentral